Molecule: ribosomal RNA, 1026 nt
Filed under: Polyphilus sieberi
Lineage: Eukaryota; Fungi; Ascomycota; Leotiomycetes; Helotiales
Description: SSU rRNA
Rfam family: Eukaryotic small subunit ribosomal RNA
Source: RNAcentral
AACUGCGAAUGGCUCAUUAAAUCAGUUAUCGUUUAUUUGAUAGUACCUUACUACUUGGAUAACCGUGGUAAUUCUAGAGCUAAUACAUGCUAAAAACCCCGACUUCGGAAGGGGUGUAUUUAUUAGAUAAAAAACCAAUGCCCUUCGGGGCUCCUUGGUGAUUCAUAAUAACUUAACGAAUCGCAUGGCCUUGUGCCGGCGAUGGUUCAUUCAAAUUUCUGCCCUAUCAACUUUCGAUGGUAGGAUAGUGGCCUACCAUGGUUUCAACGGGUAACGGGGAAUUAGGGUUCUAUUCCGGAGAGGGAGCCUGAGAAACGGCUACCACAUCCAAGGAAGGCAGCAGGCGCGCAAAUUACCCAAUCCCGACACGGGGAGGUAGUGACAAUAAAUACUGAUACAGGGCUCUUUUGGGUCUUGUAAUUGGAAUGAGUACAAUUUAAAUCCCUUAACGAGGAACAAUUGGAGGGCAAGUCUGGUGCCAGCAGCCGCGGUAAUUCCAGCUCCAAUAGCGUAUAUUAAAGUUGUUGCAGUUAAAAAGCUCGUAGUUGAACCUUGGGCCUGGCUGGCCGGUCCGCCUCACCGCGUGCACUGGUCCGGCCGGGUCUUUCCUUCUGGGGAGCCGCAUGCCCUUCACUGGGUGUGUCGGGGAACCAGGACUUUUACUUUGAAAAAAUUAGAGUGUUCAAAGCAGGCCUAUGCUCGAAUACAUUAGCAUGGAAUAAUAGAAUAGGACGUGUGGUUCUAUUUUGUUGGUUUCUAGGACCGCCGUAAUGAUUAAUAGGGAUAGUCGGGGGCAUCAGUAUUCAAUUGUCAGAGGUGAAAUUCUUGGAUUUAUUGAAGACUAACUACUGCGAAAGCAUUUGCCAAGGAUGUUUUCAUUAAUCAGUGAACGAAAGUUAGGGGAUCGAAGACGAUCAGAUACCGUCGUAGUCUUAACCAUAAACUAUGCCGACUAGGGAUCGGGCGAUGUUAUCUUUUUGACUCGCUCGGCACCUUACGAGAAAUCAAAGUCUUUGGGUUCUGGGG